This 460-nucleotide ribosomal RNA is filed under the name Megasphaera cerevisiae. RNAcentral describes it as "bacterial SSU rRNA". It matches the Rfam family "Bacterial small subunit ribosomal RNA", at positions 338 to 795 of the family's 1533-position model. Lineage: Bacteria; Bacillati; Bacillota; Negativicutes; Veillonellales; Veillonellaceae. The record is from RNAcentral.
CCUACGGGUGGCUGCAGUGAGGAAUAUUGGUCAAUGGGCGCAAGCCUGAACCAGCCAUGCCGCGUGCAGGAAGACGGUCCUAUGGAUUGUAAACUGCUUUUAUACGGGAAGAAACCUCUUUACGUGUAGAGAGCUGACGGUACCGUAUGAAUAAGCACCGGCUAACUCCGUGCCAGCAGCCGCGGUAAUACGGAGGGUGCAAGCGUUAUCCGGAAUCAUUGGGUUUAAAGGGUCCGCAGGCGGUUAUAUAAGUCAGUGGUGAAAGCCUACAGCUCAACUGUAGAACUGCCAUUGAUACUGUAUGACUUGAAUUCGAUCGAAGUGGGCGGAAUGUGACAUGUAGCGGUGAAAUGCUUAGAUAUGUCACAGAACACCGAUAGCGAAGGCAGCUCACUAGGUCUGGAUUGACGCUCAGGGACGAAAGCGUGGGGAGCAAACAGGAUUAGAUACCCUUGUAGUC